AUUGAACGCUGGCGGCAGGCCUAACACAUGCAAGUCGAACGGUAACAGGAAGCAGCUUGCUGCUUCGCUGACGAGUGGCGGACGGGGGAGUAAUGUCUGGGAAGCUGCCUGAUGGAGGGGGAUAACUACUGGAAACGGUAGCUAAUACCGCAUAUGUCGCAAGACCAAAGAGGGGGACCUUCGGGCCUCUUGCCAUCGGAUGUGCCCAGAUGGGAUUAGCUUGUUGGUGGGGUAACGGCUCACCAAGGCGACGAUCCCUAGCUGGUCUGAGAGGAUGACCAGCCACACUGGAACUGAGACACGGUCCAGACUCCUACGGGAGGCAGCAGUGGGGAAUAUUGCACAAUGGGCGCAAGCCUGAUGCAGCCAUGCCGCGUGUAUGAAGAAGGCCUUCGGGUUGUAAAGUACUUUCAGCGGGGAGGAAGGGAGUAAAGUUAAUACCUUUGCUCAUUGACGUUACCCGCAGAAGAAGCACCGGCUAACUCCGUG
RNAcentral lists this ribosomal RNA (489 nucleotides) under uncultured bacterium. RNAcentral describes it as "partial 16S ribosomal RNA". It matches the Rfam family "Bacterial small subunit ribosomal RNA", at positions 30 to 507 of the family's 1533-position model. The record is from RNAcentral.